Molecule: ribosomal RNA, 258 nt
Filed under: uncultured bacterium
Lineage: Bacteria
Description: partial 16S ribosomal RNA
Rfam family: Bacterial small subunit ribosomal RNA
Source: RNAcentral
CGGCGGACGGGUGAGUAACGCGUGGGGAACCUGCCCUAUACAGGGGGAUAACAGUUAGAAAUGACUGCUAAUACCGCAUAAGCGCACGGAGCCGCAUGGCCCUGAGUGAAAAACGAUAGUGGUAUAGGAGGGACCCGCGUCUGAUUAGGUAGUUGGUGGGGUAACGGCCCACCAAGCCGACGAUCAGUAGCCGACCUGAGAGGGUGACCGGCCACAUUGGGACUGAGACACGGCCCAAACUCCUACGGGAGGCAGCAG